ACAUGGAUGUGGACUUAUGGCAGGGCCGUACCCCUGGUCCUGUCAGUGUCACACUGCAGAGCAAACUGUGAUGCAGAACCACUGCCUGGCCUAUCCCUGUAGGCUGCUGGCACUGAACUGGGUUGCACAUUG
Small nucleolar RNA from Jaculus jaculus (lesser Egyptian jerboa), 132 nucleotides. The record is from Ensembl. Lineage: Eukaryota; Metazoa; Chordata; Mammalia; Rodentia; Dipodidae.